This 499-nucleotide ribosomal RNA is filed under the name uncultured bacterium. RNAcentral describes it as "bacterial SSU rRNA". It matches the Rfam family "Bacterial small subunit ribosomal RNA", at positions 899 to 1397 of the family's 1533-position model. The record is from RNAcentral.
ACUCAAAGGAAUUGACGGGGGCCCGCACAAGCGGAGGAACAUGUGGUUUAAUUCGAUGAUACGCGAGGAACCUUACCUGGGCUUAAAUGUACAGUGCAUUCUGGAGAAAUUUGGAUUUCCUUUUAGGACUCUGUGCAAGGUGCUGCAUGGUUGUCGUCAGCUCGUGCCGUGAGGUGUCGGGUUAAGUCCCAUAACGAGCGCAACCCUUAUCGUUAGUUGCCAUCGGGUCAUGCCGGGGACUCUAGCGAAACUGCCGGUGUAAACCGUGAGGAAGGUGGGGAUGACGUCAAAUCAGCACGGCCCUUAUGUCCAGGGCUACACACGUGUUACAAUGGCCGGUACAGAGGGCAGCCACCUGGAGACAGGGAGCGAAUCUCGAAAGCCGGUCUCAGUUCGGAUCGGAGUCUGCAACUCGACUUCGUGAAGCUGGAUUCGCUAGUAAUCGCGCAUCAGCCACGGCGCGGUGAAUACGUUCCCGGGCCUUGUACACACCGCCCGU